ACUCCUACGGGAGGCAGCAGUAAGGAAUAUUGGACAAUGGGCGAAAGACCUGAUCCAGCCAUGCCGCGUGAAGGAUUAAGGUCCUCUGGAUUGUAAACUUCUUUUAUUUGGGACGAAAAAGGGAAAUUCUUUCCCUACCUUGACGGUACCAAGUGAAUAAGCACCGGCUAACUCCGUGCCAGCAGCCGCGGUAAUACGGAGGGGUGCAAGCGUUAUCCGGAUUCACUGGGUUUAAAGGGGUGCGUAGGCGGGGUAUGUAAGUCAGUGGUGAAAUCUCGGAGCUUAACUCCGAAACUGCCAUUGAUACUAUAUAUCUUGAAUAUUGUGGAGGUUUGCGGAAUAUGUCAUGUAGCGGUGAAAUGCUUAGAUAUGACAUAGAACACCUAUUGCGAAGGCAGCAGGCUACACAUAUAUUGACGCUGAGGCACGAAAGCGUGGGGAGUCAAACAGGAUUAGAUACCCUGGUAGGAUAGCG
RNAcentral lists this ribosomal RNA (475 nucleotides) under uncultured bacterium. RNAcentral describes it as "bacterial SSU rRNA". It matches the Rfam family "Bacterial small subunit ribosomal RNA", at positions 335 to 799 of the family's 1533-position model. The record is from RNAcentral.